UUUAAAAUUUUUAUUUUUUUUGUUUGUUUUUGAAAAUUUUAAAAGAAGUAACUUUUUAUUUUAUAGUUUUAGUAUAUAUUUAGAAUUGAUUUUUUUUAUUAUAGUUUAUUAGUAAUGUAAUUGAAUUAUUUAUUUUUUUAAAAAAUAAAAGUACUUUUAAUUUGGGGUACCUUUUGUAUCAGGGUUGAUCAAAUUAAUUUGAUUAUUUUAUUUUCUCGAUUUAGGUUGAUUUAUAUUUAUAUUUAUUUUGUUGUUUUAUAAACAUUUAAAAUUUAAAUAUAGAAAUGAAAUGUUAUACGUUUCCUAAGAUAUCUAGUUCCUUGAGAAGAAAUUUAAUUUUUUAUGAUUUUUGAUUAUUUACUUGUUUCAUGUUUUAAAUUAAAUAUCAAUUUAUACUUUAGGGGAUAAGCUCUUGAGUUAUUUUAUCUAUAAUUUUAUUUAUUUAUAAAAUAGUAAGCUUUAAACCAGCUAUCUUUUAUGAUUACGUUUUAGUUCAUUAUUGAAUUUUUUAGAUUUUAUAAUUUUUUUAGAUUAUUUAUUAAGGUGAUUAAAUUAAUAAUUAAUUUAUUGUAAUAAUGAUUGAAUUAGUAUAUUUAUUUGUUUAAUAAAGUUAUGUUGAUAAUUUAUAUUAAGGAAUUAGGCAAAAUUGUUUUCCGCCUGUUUAACAAAAACAUGUCUUUUUGAUAAAAAUUUAAAGUCUGGCCUGCUCACUGAAAAUUUAAAGAGCCGCGGUAUUUUGACCGUGCAAAGGUAGCAUAAUCAUUAGUCUUUUAAUUGGAGGCUGGAAUGAAUGGUUUGACGAGGGGACUACUGUCUCAAUCUUAAUUAGUAAAAUUUAACUUUUAAGUUAAAAGGCUUAAAUUUUUCUUUAGGACGAGAAGACCCUAUAGAUCUUUAUAAUUUAUUUAAAAUUAAUUUUCUGUUGAUUUAUUUUAAUUAUUAAUAAAUUUAUUUUGUUGGGGUGACAUAAAGAAUAAUUAAACUCUUUAUUAUAAUUUCAUUGAUUUAUGAUUGAUUGAUCCAUAUUUUGUGAUUAUAAGAUAAAGUUACCUUAGGGAUAACAGCGUAAUUAAUUUUUAGAGUUCAUAUCAACAAAUUAGAUUGCGACCUCGAUGUUGGAUUAAGAUAAGUAUUAGGUGUAUCCGUUUAAUAACUAGGUCUGUUCGACCUUUAAAUUCUUACAUGAUCUGAGUUCAGACCGGUGUAAACCAGGUCGGUUUCUAUCCUAAGUUAGAUUAUUUAUAUUAGUACGAAAGGACCAUAUAAUUGAAAUAUUUUUUUAUUUAUGAUAAAUAUUAAUUU
RNAcentral lists this ribosomal RNA (1302 nucleotides) under Aularches miliaris. Its description in RNAcentral is "16S ribosomal RNA". The stretch from base 597 to 1302 matches the Rfam family "Archaeal large subunit ribosomal RNA", at positions 1423 to 2804 of the family's 2987-position model. Lineage: Eukaryota; Metazoa; Arthropoda; Insecta; Orthoptera; Pyrgomorphidae. The record is from RNAcentral.